RNAcentral lists this small RNA (78 nucleotides) under Croceicoccus naphthovorans. Its description in RNAcentral is "Makes More Granules Regulator RNA (mmgR)". It matches the Rfam family "Makes More Granules Regulator RNA (mmgR)". Rfam says of the family: SuhB later renamed mmgR (makes more granules regulator) was a putative non-coding RNA found multiple times in the Agrobacterium tumefaciens genome and related alpha-proteobacteria. Other non-coding RNAs uncovered in the same analysis include: speF, ybhL, metA, and serC. Lineage: Bacteria; Pseudomonadati; Pseudomonadota; Alphaproteobacteria; Sphingomonadales; Erythrobacteraceae. The record is from Rfam by way of RNAcentral.
CGCCGCUGCCUUUACAGGCAUCCUCUCCCAAACUUUAUGCCCGGCUCAUGCAUUUGAGCCGGGUUUUCUUUACCCCGU